Molecule: non-coding RNA, 6993 nt
Organism: Sus scrofa (pig)
Lineage: Eukaryota; Metazoa; Chordata; Mammalia; Artiodactyla; Suidae
Source: RefSeq, a predicted model, not a curated record
GGGGGAGUGGCGCGGCCGUAGCUCCGUUUCCGGUGGCUCGUAGCGCUCGCUCACUCCAGCUGCAGCCACUCUUGCCCGUGGCUGCUUCCUCCAUCCUGGUAUUUUUUGGAGCCUCCAUCCUGGUUCUUCCAAAGUGCCCGGACCCAAAACAGGAAGGUGUUGCAGAGGUAGGAUGAGUGAGAAACAAUCUGGAUAACAUGAAAGUGAUGCUGGUGGCUAAGAGAAAGCGACUUGAUUCUGUGGGAAGGGCUAUAGCUGAUCCAUCUGUUUUCUAGAUUUGAGUAUGAGCACAGUUGAAGAGGAUUCUGACACAGUAACAGUAGAAACUGUGAACUCUGUGACCUUGACUCGGGACACAGACGGGAACCUCAUUCUUCAUUGCCCUCAGAAUGAAGCUGAUGAAAUAGACUCAGAAGAUAGUACUGAACCUCCACAUAAAAGGCUUUGUCUGUCUUCUGAGGAUGAUCAAAGUAUUGAUGAUUCCACUCCUUGCAUAUCAGUUGUUGCACUUCCACUUUCAGAGAAUGAUCAGAGCUUUGAGGUGACCAUGACUGCAACCACAGAGGUGGCAGAUGAUGAGAUUACUGAGGGAACUGUGACACAGAUCCAGAUUCUACAGAAUGAGCAACUAGAUGAAAUAUCUCCCUUGGGUAAUGAGGAAGUUUCAGCCGUUAGCCAAGCCUGGUUUACAACUAAAGAAGAUAAGGAUUCUCUGACUAAUAAAGGCCAUAAAUGGAAGCAGGGGAUGUGGUCCAAGGAAGAAAUUGAUAUUUUGAUGAACAAUAUUGAACGCUAUUUGAAGGCACGCGGAAUAAAAGAUGCUACAGAAAUCAUCUUUGAGAUGUCAAAAGACGAAAGAAAAGAUUUCUACAGGACUAUAGCAUGGGGUCUGAACCGGCCUUUGUUUGCAGUUUAUAGAAGAGUGCUUCGCAUGUAUGAUGACAGAAACCAUGUGGGAAAAUAUACACCAGAAGAAAUUGAAAAGCUCAAGGAGUAAGUUUUAACUUUAUUUUCAUUAAUUUUGAUAGUUGAGUUUUAGUUUUUUUAAAUAUCUUAUGUUUUGUAAAGAUUUACUUGGAAAAUGUCAAGGGAUUUUUGGUAGACUGGUAUAAUUUGAUCCUGCUGGUAAACAUAGUUGACUGUAAAAAGAACUUGUCAGAUCUGUCCCUGCACAGAGUAGCCAUGCCCAUAAGUGUAGUCUUCGUCUUGUCAGCCACCAAAUGAAAUGCAUCCUUAGACUACUAAUGGGGAUUUCAAAAGAGAUUAAUUCGAUGGUCAUUCUUGGUGGCCUGAAGAAUAAAUUUGGGGGGCUUACAUACCAGGAUCAAAACCAGGUGUGCUACAUGGCUUAGUUUAGAAUGGUGAGUUGGCAGAUGUUUCACUGACUGUCUAGGCUGACUCUACCUUACAAAGUUUAUUUUGCAGGAAACAUAAUUUUGGGACCAUUAAGUGUGGGUUAAUGGAUUGUAUGGAUCAUGAAAAAAAAUUGAAGGCUGAUCCUGUUUAUGAUGAUAAAAACUUGUGAAACUUUUUCAGAUGUCUGAGAAGAGCGUGUUAGGAGGACUCAAAAGGGAAAAAUCUGGGGAUUGCCUGGGAGAUUGUGUCAAUAACCUGAGGGGAAAUUCGGGUCUUUUUUGAACACAUAUCCAAGUUACUUAUUUCUUCUCUGACCCAGGAAAAAGGCAAUUGCUGCCUGUUUUUUUUCACCCACAGACAACUGUGGACCCCCCAAAAAGGCCACACUUUCAAACUUUGGCUCUCAAAGUAUUGCUGCCCACAACUUCCAAACCAGUCAAAUGGGAAGAAGAAGAAUGAAGAAUAAAUGAUGAAAUUAAAAGGGAGAAAACAGUUGAACCAAAUGCUGAUUGGCAGACUCUUGUUUUAGGCUCCGGAUAAAGCAUGGCAAUGACUGGGCAACAAUAGGGGCGGCGCUAGGAAGGAGUGCAUCUUCCGUCAAGGAUCGGUGCCGACUGAUGAAGGACACUUGCAACACAGGAAAGUGGACAGAAGAAGAAGAAAAAAGGCUUGCAGAAGUGGUUCAUGAAUUGACAAGCACUGAGCCGGGUGACAUAGUCACACAGGGUGUGUCUUGGGCAGCUGUGGCAGAACGAGUGGGUACCCGCUCAGAAAAGCAGUGUCGUUCUAAGUGGCUCAACUACCUGAACUGGAAACAGAGUGGAGGUACUGAGUGGACCAAGGAAGAUGAAAUCAAUCUCAUUCUCAGUGGAUUUAGUGCUCGUAUAAAGUACCAGAUUGAAGGCGUGGAGACUGAAGUCCUCUAUAUCCACAGAACAGGAUAGCAGAACUUGAUGUAGCUGAUGAAAAUGACAUAAACUGGGAUCUGUUAGCAGAGGGAUGGAGCAGUGUCCGUUCACCACAGUGGCUUCGAAGUAAAUGGUGGACCAUCAAAAGACAAAUUGCAAACCAUAAGGAUGUUUCAUUCCCUGGUAAUAUAUUAUUUGCUUCUUAAGCCCUUCCCUUAUCUUAUCGUAUUUAGUCCUCAGGAAUUAGACGUCAGAAGUCCUUUUACUCAACUGAGGAGAUAUGAAUUAUAGUAGAUACUCACUUCAACUUCUGCUCUAUUUCUUUGGGUAACGGUCUUCCCUUGGGUAAUUUGCAAGCACCUAAGAUGGAAGUACACAUUUACACACUUUGUUGCCCUUCACACAAAUACGAAGAAAUUAAUUUUAAAUAUGUAUUUUCACUGUAUAAAAAAGAUGUAUCUCUGGAAGUUCCCUUAUGGCACAGAAGGUUAAGGAUACAAUAUUACUGCAGUGGUGGUACAGGCUGCAGCUGUGGCACAGGUUGGAUCCCUGCCACAGCUGCAGCCCCCAAAAAAAUGUAUUUCUAAAAACUUAGUAUUGAAUCAACUUCUAUAAAUAAUUUUGAGUAUCUUAACUUGGUUUCUUAUUUAGAGAAAUUCUGUGAUUUAUUUUGUAGAACAAAGACUUAAGUUUUUAAUUUCAUUUGUUAUAUAAAUCUAGAGAUCCUAGUUUUGCUUAAAAGUGAGGCACAGCAUACUUUCCACUUCACUGUCUGCUUUGCACUUAGGCAUGGAACUAAGUUAUACAGUCUGAUUUAGGUAAUCAGAUUCACUCCCAUUGGUAUAGUGCUCCAACCUCCAUUUUUGCAAAGGAAAAUUAAAUUCUGAAGAACUUUGGCUUGAUGAAAAUGUUAUUUUUUUCCUUUAAUACCCAGUUGUAAGUUUAUUUUACAUUUACAACAUUAUAAAUUCUGGUAUAAUAUAGAGUGAAUGAGGAGUUCCCAUCAUAGCUCAGCAGUAAUGAACCCGACUGGAAUCUAUGAGGACACAGGUUCAAUCCUUGGCCUUGAACAGUGGGUCAGGGAUCUGGCAUUGCCAUGAGCUGUGAUGUAGGUUCGUGUGGCUUGGAUCCUGCAUUGCUGUAACUAGUAUAGGCCAGUGGCUACAUCUCUGAUUAGACCCCUACCCCGGGAACUUCCAUAUGCCGCAGGUGCCGCCCUCAAAAGAUAAACAAAAAAAUAAGUGAAUGAAUACUAAGGUAACAUGAACCCAGCCAGACUGCAGCAUCACCUGAGGGGGUCUAAUAGUUUAUCAUGAUUAAUAGAGGAGUUGGCUUUCCUGUUUGAGAACUCAAGGUGGUUGCAUAUUACUCUUUGGAAAAGCUCACCUGCUACUCUGGAGUUUUAAGUUAGACUCACAGACUCACUGAUUAUGCCCUUGUUGUAGCUAAAACAGUCAAGUACCUUUUGAGGCCUGGGGGUCGGAGGAGUACACUAUUCAUUGCUAAAUGAAAAUAAGCUACUUAGUAUUACCAAUAGUUUUCCUAAAUACUAAGAAUUUUAUCAGGAAGCCCUAGGACCCAGGAAAUGUUUUAUUUCCAUGUUCCUCACAAUGGUUAUUAAUGUACCUUAGAUGGUAAGAACAAUAUUAUUUUAUGAACUUUUUAAAUAUGUUUUGAUGUAUAUAACAUUCCCAAAAAUUUCCAGAUAGGUUGUAGUUUUAAAAUAUUUUUAUUGUUAUUUUGAUAAGAUCUCACAUCCAGUAUACAAUCAUUUAUUCCAAAUACUUUCCCUCCUUACCCCCCCCCCACCUCCCUUGCUGCUCAGAUGGUGGUCUGUCGGAGAAUCAAUGUUCUUUUUGUCUACCCAUCUCCCUUCAGUCUUGAUAAAAGGUCUUAAACAGUUACAUGAGAAUCAAAAAAACAACCCAACGCUGUUGGAGAAUAAACCAGGAUCUGGAGUUCCAAACAGUAAUUCCAGUUCCAGCGUACAGCAUGUUCAGAUCAGAGUCGCCCGCUUGGAAGACAAUGCGGCCAUCUCUCCCAGCCCCAUGACAGCCCUGCAGAUUCCAGUCCAGAUCACCCACGUCUCUUCAGCAGACUCCCCUGCUGCUACUGUUGACUCGGAAACAAUAACACUAAACAGUGGAACACUACAGACAUUUGAAAUUCUUCCAUCUUUCCAUUUACAGCCCACUGGCACUCCAGGCACCUACCUACUUCAGACAAGCUCAAGCCAGGGCCUUCCCCUAACUCUGACUGCUAGUCCCACAGUCACCCUGACAGCUGCUGCUCCUGCAUCUCCUGAACAGAUCAUUGUUCAUGCUUUAUCUGUAUGUUACCUUUUGUGCAUGCUUUAUCUUAGGUUACCUUCCUUGAUUUUUCUAGUUUCUGUAGAAGAGACUGGCUAAGAAGUGUCACUGGAAAAAGAACUGAUGUCCCUUCCAAAACAGUAUCUUGGGGGAGGGGAAGAGAUAUAUUUUGAGCUCAGUUCAAGGACUUGAGUACUUGUUAAGGACCAGGAGUAGUUGAUGCAACCAAAGGAGCCAAUACUAAUGUAGUCCAUUUAUUUAAACAUUUGGAUUCUUCCUACCACUGUUGUCCCAGGAGCAGUGUUUUACAUCUUCACUGGAGUACAUCCCUCAUCUGUGUCUUCUCGCAUGAGAUGAGCUUAUAUUAGGGAAAAGGGGGCUAUGAGGAGAGCAGAGGCCCCAGUCGGUAAGGAAUAGGGGCUCUAGAGAAACAGCGAUAAUAAGUACACUGCAGUUCCAGAGGUGAGAGGCAUGGAAGGGACAGGAGGGUACCACCUAUGUCAUUUGCUGUCUAUAUAUAACUUUAGGCUGGUAGGUGCUUUUUCAUUUGAUAUUGAUCAUUCUCUUUAACAUUUUAUAGCCAGAACAUCUGUUGAACACAAGUGACAACGUCACAGUGCAGUGUCACACACCAAGAGUCAUCAUUCAGACAGUCGCUACAGAGGACAUCACUUCUUCCAUAUCCCAAGCAGAACUGACCGUGGAUAGUGAUAUUCACUCAUCGGAUUUUCCUGAGCCUCCAGAUGCACUAGAAGCAGACACUUUCCCAGAUGAAAUUCAUCAGCCUAAGAUUACUGUAGAGCCAUCAUUUAAUGAUGCUCAUAUAUCCAAAUUCAGUGACCAAAAUAGCACAGAACUGAUGAACAGUGUUAUGGUCAGGACAGAAGAAGAAAUCUCUGACAGCGACCUUAAACAAGAAGACGCACCCUCUCCUCUAGCCCGGGCUUAUGUUACUGAGGAUUUAGAGUCUCCUACCAUAGAAGAACAAGUUGAUCAAACAACAAUUGAUGAUGAAACGAUACUUAUCGUUCCUUCACCACAUGGCUUUAUCCAGACAUCUGAUGUUAUAGAUACUGAAUCUGUCUUGCCUUUGACAACACUAACAGAUCCCAUACUCCAGCAUCAUCGAGAAGAAUCAAACAUCAUUGGAUCAUCACUGGGCAGUCCUGUUUCAGAAGACUCUAAAGAUGUUGAGGAUUUGGUAAACUGUCAUUAGGUAAUUCUUAGAAACAGGUAGUUCAGGCAAAGAAGCCACACUGUCAAUUACAACAUCUCCAAAGAAGUAAGAGCAACCCCAAGAGGCUUAAUUUACCAUUCCUCUGGCUUUUAAAUAGCUACAGUGCUUAAGCCACAUACAGUGUUGCUGCUCUGACCUUUUACCUCCUUUAAAUAUAUCGUCUGAGGUCUAAUCUUCUGACAGUGUGUUGCUGAGUGGAGCACCGGGGUCUUAACUGCAGAGAUCUCAAUGAUUAGUGUUAUUUGUCAGCGGGGAAUUUCAUUCACUUUAGCUGAGAAAAGUUUAAGAUCACCAAAGCUUAACUACUGUUUUUAAAGCAGUAAGGUUUAUCUCUAAAGACCAGAUACGGCCCUCUAACCAGUCUCUAGUAGGCCUGUUUAUAUUUCAGAGAAGUCACAUCAACAUGGUAUAGAGCUUACCAGUGAACUUCUCCACAGAGAUUCACAUUUUAAAGAAGUUUGAGACCUGAGGUGAUUUUGUGGUGGUUACUUUUGCUUUACCCAUUGCUGGCAGUGGGAGCUGAUUUGGGCCGGAUAAAGAGGAAAGCAUUAAGAGUUAAGAAAAUUCACUACAGGUUUCUUUUAUAACUUUUAAAGGGACUAUGGGUGACAGUAGUAAAACAAAAAUUCAGCAGAAGCUGAGUUUUCACCCUCUCAGAACCCACUGUCAUCAGUUUACAAAGUUAGCACUUUGAAGUAAAACUAAAUGAGAAAGGAAGUAGAGUUGCCUAUCCUAUACCAUGACCUUUUCUCCCAUGUUUUACAUAUAAAUUGCCCAGGAAAUAGUUGAGGAGAGUAUAGUAUCAAAGUUUGCCGUUCACUUAGUGCAUUAACUGGUGGGGAUGUGAUACAACUUCUCCCGCAGGCAAUUUUUAAAAAAUUUACUUCUGUAAUGAAAGGAAACAAAUCAAGAGUCAUUCCUGUACUAGCGAAGGUUAAGCCAAAAUUAGCCUCUAGGGCUUUAAUGAAUAUGACCCCUAUAGAAAAGUCACAAAAAAAAAAAAAAACUUGUAUAAAUUAUUUUAUUUAUUAUUGUAAUUAGAUCUACACAAUCAAAGUUGUCUUUUCACCGUCUGUGUUUUGUUAAUGUGAAAUUAAAUUGUAGUUAUAAGCAAAAGUGGUUGCCUAGGGAACAAUAAUUGUAUAUUCAAUUUAACAGAAAUAAAAUAAUAUUUGUCUUAAAA